RNAcentral lists this ribosomal RNA (253 nucleotides) under uncultured bacterium. Its description in RNAcentral is "partial 16S ribosomal RNA". It matches the Rfam family "Bacterial small subunit ribosomal RNA", at positions 524 to 776 of the family's 1533-position model. The record is from RNAcentral.
UACGGGGGGGGCUAGCGUUGUUCGGAAUUACUGGGCGUAAAGCGCACGUAGGCGGCUUUGUAAGUUAGAGGUGAAAGCCCAGGGCUCAACCCUGGAAUUGCCUUUAAGACUGCAUCGCUUGAACAUCGGAGAGGUAAGUGGAAUUCCGAGUGUAGAGGUGAAAUUCGUAGAUAUUCGGAAGAACACCAGUGGCGAAGGCGACUUACUGGACGAUUGUUGACGCUGAGGUGCGAAAGCGUGGGGAGCAAACAGG